Molecule: ribosomal RNA, 253 nt
Filed under: uncultured bacterium
Lineage: Bacteria
Description: partial 16S ribosomal RNA
Rfam family: Bacterial small subunit ribosomal RNA
Source: RNAcentral
UACGUAGGGUGCGAGCGUUAAUCGGAAUUACUGGGCGUAAAGCGUGCGCAGGCGGUUCGACAAGUCCGAUGUGAAAGCCCCGGGCUCAACCUGGGAGUGGCAUUGGAAACUGGCGGGCUGGAGUGUGGCAGAGGGGGGUGGAAUUCCGCGUGUAGCAGUGAAAUGCGUAGAGAUGCGGAGGAACACCGAUGGCGAAGGCAGCCCCCUGGGCUGACACUGACGCUCAGGCACGAAAGCGUGGGGAGCAAACAGG